RNAcentral lists this unclassified non-coding RNA (240 nucleotides) under soil metagenome. Its description in RNAcentral is "partial contains 5.8S ribosomal RNA, internal transcribed spacer 2, and large subunit ribosomal RNA". The record is from RNAcentral.
AACGCACGAGACCUGCGGACCUGCGGAGGGAUCAUUACCGAGUUUACAACUCCCAAACCCAAUGUGAACGUUACCAAACUGUUGCCUCGGCGGGAUCUCUGCCCCGGGUGCGUCGCAGCCCCGGACCAAGGCGCCCGCCGGAGGACCAACCAAAACUCUUUUGUAUACCCCCUCGCGGGUUUUUAUAUCUGAGCCAUCUCGGCGCCUCCCGUAGGCGUUUCGAAAAUGAAUCAAAACUUU